UACAGAGGGUGCGAGCGUUGUCCGGAAUCACUGGGCGUAAAGAGCGCGCAGGCGGUCGUCCAAGUCGCGUGUGAAAGCCCCCGGCUCAACUGGGGAGGGUCACGCGAUACUGGUCGACUCGAAGGCAGGAGAGGGUAGUGGAAUUCCCGGUGUAGUGGUGAAAUGCGUAGAUAUCGGGAGGAACACCAGUGGCGAAGGCGACUACCUGGCCUGUUCUUGACGCUGAGGCGCGAAAGCUAGGGGAGCAAACGGG
RNAcentral lists this ribosomal RNA (253 nucleotides) under uncultured bacterium. RNAcentral describes it as "partial 16S ribosomal RNA". It matches the Rfam family "Bacterial small subunit ribosomal RNA", at positions 524 to 776 of the family's 1533-position model. The record is from RNAcentral.